This 872-nucleotide ribosomal RNA is filed under the name uncultured Methylobacter sp. RNAcentral's name for it is "bacterial SSU rRNA". It matches the Rfam family "Bacterial small subunit ribosomal RNA", at positions 46 to 916 of the family's 1533-position model. The record is from RNAcentral. Lineage: Bacteria; Pseudomonadati; Pseudomonadota; Gammaproteobacteria; Methylococcales; Methylococcaceae.
GCUUACACAUGCAAGUCGAACGGUAACAGGCCUUCGGGUGCUGACGAGUGGCGGACGGGUGAGUAACGCGUAGGAAUCUGCCCUGUAGUGGGGGACAACGUGGGGAAACUCACGCUAAUACCGCAUACGCCCUGAGGGGGAAAGCGGGGGACCUUCGGGCCUCGCGCUAUGGGAUGAGCCUGCGUGGGAUUAGCUAGUUGGUAGGGUAAAGGCCUACCAAGGCGACGAUCCCUAGCCGGCCUGAGAGGGUGGCCGGCCACACUGGGACUGAGACACGGCCCAGACUCCUACGGGAGGCAGCAGUGGGGAAUAUUGGACAAUGGGCGCAAGCCUGAUCCAGCAAUGCCGCGUGUGUGAAGAAGGCCUGAGGGUUGUAAAGCACUUUCAGUGGGGAGGAAAAAGCGAAGGUUAAUACCCUUGGUCUUGACAUUACCCAGAGAAGAAGCACCGGCUAACUCCGUGCCAGCAGCCGCGGUAAUACGGAGGGUGCGAGCGUUAAUCGGAAUUACUGGGCGUAAAGCGUGCGUAGGCGGCUAUUUAAGUCAGAUGUGAAAGCCCCGGGCUUAACCUGGGAACGGCAUUUGAUACUGGGUAGCUAGAGUUUGGUAGAGGGGAGUGGAAUUUCAGGUGUAGCGGUGAAAUGCGUAGAGAUCUGAAGGAACACCAGUGGCGAAGGCGGCUCCCUGGACCAGAACUGACGCUGAGGCACGAAAGCGUGGGUAGCAAACAGGAUUAGAUACCCUGGUAGUCCACGCCGUAAACGAUGUCGACUAGCCGUUGGGUCUUUAAGGAGGCUUGGUGGCGCAGCUAACGCAAUAAGUCGGCCGCCUGGGGAGUACGGCCGCAAGGUUAAAACUCAAAUGAAUUGACGG